CCUAGGGUGUCAGCAGUGGGGAAUAUUGGACAAUGGGCGAAAGCCUGAUCCAGCCAUGUCGCGUGUGUGAAGAAGGCCUUCGGGUUGUAAAGCACUUUCAGUGGGGAAGAAAGCCUUGGGGCUAAUACCCUCGAGGAAGGACAUCACCCACAGAAGAAGCACCGGCUAACUCCGUGCCAGCAGCCGCGGUAAUACGGAGGGUGCGAGCGUUAAUCGGAAUUACUGGGCGUAAAGCGCGCGUAGGCGGUCUGAUAAGCCGGUUGUGAAAGCCCCGGGCUCAACCUGGGAACGGCAUCCGGAACUGUCAGGCUAGAGUGCAGGAGAGGAAGGUAGAAUUCCCGGUGUAGCGGUGAAAUGCGUAGAGAUCGGGAGGAAUACCAGUGGCGAAGGCGGCCUUCUGGACUGACACUGACGCUGAGGUGCGAAAGCGUGGGUAGCAAACAGGAUUAGAUACCCGAGUAGUC
RNAcentral lists this ribosomal RNA (464 nucleotides) under Vreelandella stevensii. Its description in RNAcentral is "partial 16S ribosomal RNA". It matches the Rfam family "Bacterial small subunit ribosomal RNA", at positions 338 to 795 of the family's 1533-position model. Lineage: Bacteria; Pseudomonadati; Pseudomonadota; Gammaproteobacteria; Oceanospirillales; Halomonadaceae. The record is from RNAcentral.